GGACAGGUGGCCGAGUGGUUUAAGGCUCUAGUCUUGAAAACUAGCGUGGGGGCAACUUCACCGUGAGUUCGAAUCUCACCCUGUCCGCCA
RNAcentral lists this transfer RNA (90 nucleotides) under Alphaproteobacteria bacterium. RNAcentral describes it as "tRNA-Ser". It matches the Rfam family "tRNA". From Rfam's summary of the family: Transfer RNA (tRNA) molecules are approximately 80 nucleotides in length. Their secondary structure includes four short double-helical elements and three loops (D, anti-codon, and T loops). Lineage: Bacteria; Pseudomonadati; Pseudomonadota; Alphaproteobacteria. The record is from RNAcentral. RNAcentral also lists the same sequence under 1 other name.